This 253-nucleotide ribosomal RNA is filed under the name uncultured bacterium. RNAcentral's name for it is "partial 16S ribosomal RNA". It matches the Rfam family "Bacterial small subunit ribosomal RNA", at positions 524 to 776 of the family's 1533-position model. The record is from RNAcentral.
UACGUAGGGUGCAGGCGUUACUCGGAAUUACUGGGCGUAAAGCGUGCGCAGGCGGUUUGCUAAGACAGGUGUGAAAUCCCCGGGCUUAACCUGGGAACUGCGCUUGUUACUGGCAAGCUUGAGUGUGGCAGAGGGGGGUGGAAUUCCACGUGUAGCAGUGAAAUGCGUAGAGAUGUGGAGGAACACCGAUGGCGAAGGCAGCCCCCUGGGUCAAGAUUGACGCUCAUGCACGAAAGCGUGGGGAGCAAACAGG